This 253-nucleotide ribosomal RNA is filed under the name uncultured bacterium. RNAcentral's name for it is "partial 16S ribosomal RNA". It matches the Rfam family "Bacterial small subunit ribosomal RNA", at positions 524 to 776 of the family's 1533-position model. The record is from RNAcentral.
UACAUGUGGGGCAAGCGUUGUUCGGAAUUCUGGGCAUAAAGGGUGCGUAGGCGGCUUGUUAAGUCAGGGGUGAAAGUUUUCGGCCCAACCGGAAAAUUGCCUUUGAUACUGGCGAGCUGGAGUGCGUGAGGGGUGACCGGAACGAGUGGUGUGAGCGGUGAAAUGCGUAGAUAUCACUCGGAAGGCCAACGGCGAAGGCAGGUCACUGGUGCGCAACUGACGCUGAGGCACGAAAGCGUGGGGAGCGAACAGG